UUGAGUUUGAUCAUGGCUCAGAACGAACGCUGGCGGCAGGCUUAACACCUGCAAGUCGAGCGCCCCGCAAGGGGAGCGGCAGACGGGUGACUAACGCGUGGGAAUCUACCCUUUUCUACGGAAUAACGCAGGGAAACUUGUGCUAAUACCGUAUGAGCCCUUCGGGGGAAAGAUUUAUCGGGAAAGGAUGAGCCCGCGUUGGAUUAGCUAGUUGGUGGGGUAAAGGCCUACCAAGGCGACGAUCCAUAGCUGGUCUGAGAGGAUGAUCAGCCACAUUGGGACUGAGACACGGCCCAAACUCCUACGGGAGGCAGCAGUGGGGAAUAUUGGACAAUGGGCGCAAGCCUGAUCCAGCCAUGGCCGCGUGAGUGAUGAAGGCCCUAGGGUUGUAAAUUUUUUUCACCGGUGAAGAUAAUGACGGUAACCGGAGAAGAAGCCCCGGCUAACUUCGUGCCAGCAGCCGCGGUAC
RNAcentral lists this ribosomal RNA (469 nucleotides) under uncultured Sinorhizobium sp. RNAcentral's name for it is "bacterial SSU rRNA". It matches the Rfam family "Bacterial small subunit ribosomal RNA", at positions 1 to 523 of the family's 1533-position model. Lineage: Bacteria; Pseudomonadati; Pseudomonadota; Alphaproteobacteria; Hyphomicrobiales; Rhizobiaceae. The record is from RNAcentral.